RNAcentral lists this ribosomal RNA (646 nucleotides) under Stenotrophomonas maltophilia. RNAcentral describes it as "bacterial SSU rRNA". It matches the Rfam family "Bacterial small subunit ribosomal RNA", at positions 1 to 636 of the family's 1533-position model. The record is from RNAcentral. Lineage: Bacteria; Pseudomonadati; Pseudomonadota; Gammaproteobacteria; Lysobacterales; Lysobacteraceae.
UAAGUGAAGAGUUUGAUCCUGGCUCAGAGUGAACGCUGGCGGUAGGCCUAACACAUGCAAGUCGAACGGCAGCACAGGAGAGCUUGCUCUCUGGGUGGCGAGUGGCGGACGGGUGAGGAAUACAUCGGAAUCUACUUUUUCGUGGGGGAUAACGUAGGGAAACUUACGCUAAUACCGCAUACGACCUACGGGUGAAAGCAGGGGAUCUUCGGACCUUGCGCGAUUGAAUGAGCCGAUGUCGGAUUAGCUAGUUGGCGGGGUAAAGGCCCACCAAGGCGACGAUCCGUAGCUGGUCUGAGAGGAUGAUCAGCCACACUGGAACUGAGACACGGUCCAGACUCCUACGGGAGGCAGCAGUGGGGAAUAUUGGACAAUGGGCGCAAGCCUGAUCCAGCCAUACCGCGUGGGUGAAGAAGGCCUUCGGGUUGUAAAGCCCUUUUGUUGGGAAAGAAAUCCAGCUGGUUAAUACCCGGUUGGGAUGACGGUACCCAAAGAAUAAGCACCGGCUAACUUCGUGCCAGCAGCCGCGGUAAUACGAAGGGUGCAAGCGUUACUCGGAAUUACUGGGCGUAAAGCGUGCGUAGGUGGUCGUUUAAGUCCGUUGUGAAAGCCCUGGGCUCAACCUGGGAACUGCAGUGGAUACUGG